Molecule: ribosomal RNA, 484 nt
Filed under: uncultured bacterium
Lineage: Bacteria
Description: partial 16S ribosomal RNA
Rfam family: Bacterial small subunit ribosomal RNA
Source: RNAcentral
GACGAACGCUGGCGGCGUGCUUAACACAUGCAAGUCGAACGAUGAAGCCGGAGCUUGCUCUGGUGAAUUAGUGGCGAACGGGUGAGUAACACGUUAGUAACCUGCCCUUGACUCUGGGAUAACUGCGGGAAACUGUAGCUAAUACCGGAUACGACCCUCGGAGGCAUCUCCUGGGGGUGGAAAGAAUUUCGGUCCAGGAUGGACUCGCGGCCUAUGAGCUAGUUGGUGAGGUAAAGGCUCACCAAGGCGACGACGGGUAGCCGGCCUGAGAGGGUGACCGGCCACACUGGGACUGAGACACGGCCCAGACUCCUACGGGAGGCAGCAGUGGGGAAUAUUGCACAAUGGGCGCAAGCCUGAUGCAGCAACGCCGCGUGAGGGAUGACGGCCUUCGGGUUGUAAACCUCUUUUAGCAGGGAAGAAGCGAAAGUGACGGUACCUGCAGAAAAAGCACCGGCUAACUACGUGCCAGCCGCCGCUGUAA